Molecule: ribosomal RNA, 279 nt
Filed under: uncultured bacterium
Lineage: Bacteria
Description: partial 16S ribosomal RNA
Rfam family: Bacterial small subunit ribosomal RNA
Source: RNAcentral
UGCCAGCCGCCGCGGUAAUACGGAAGGUGCAAGCGUUAUCCGGAAUCAUUGGGCGUAAAGCGUCCCUAAUCUGUCUUUUAAGUCGAAUAUUAAAUCUCUUGGCUCAACCAAGAAACCGUGUUCGAUACUGGAAGACUUGAGGUUGGUAGAGGUAAUAGGAAUUCCCGGUGUAGUAGUGAAAUGCGUUAAUAUCGGGAAGAACGCCAUUUGUGAAGACUUAUUACUGGGCCACACCUGACGACCAAGGACGAAAGCGUGGGGAGCGAACGGGAUUAGAUA